RNAcentral lists this ribosomal RNA (301 nucleotides) under uncultured bacterium. RNAcentral describes it as "partial 16S ribosomal RNA". It matches the Rfam family "Bacterial small subunit ribosomal RNA", at positions 509 to 807 of the family's 1533-position model. The record is from RNAcentral.
CAGCCGCCACGGUAAUACGGAGGGUGCAAGCGUUAAUCGGAAUUACUGGGCGUAAAGCGCACGCAGGCGGUCUGUCAAGUCAGAUGUGAAAUCCCCGGGCUUAACCUGGGAACUGCAUUUGAAACUGGCAGGCUAGAGUCUUGUAGAGGGGGGUAGAAUUCCAGGUGUAGCGGUGAAAUGCGUAGAGAUCUGGAGGAAUACCGAUGGCGAAGGCAGCCAUCUGGCCUAAUACUGACGCUGAGGUACGAAAGCAUGGGGAGCAAACAGGAUUAGAUACCCGCGUAGUCCAUGUCUCUUAUAC